RNAcentral lists this long non-coding RNA (2470 nucleotides) under Homo sapiens (human). RNAcentral describes it as "HSALNT0131462". The record is from RNAcentral. Lineage: Eukaryota; Metazoa; Chordata; Mammalia; Primates; Hominidae.
GGGCGUGGUGUGGAGGGUCGAGUUCUUUGUCGUCCCACAGUCACCCCCAGGACCACCUUGCGAAGCCGAAAAUACACAUCUGCAUUUUACCGACAAGGAACGCCACUGAGAAAGCUGCAGACAUUUGCCUGGGGUCACGCUUACAGUGGGCAGAUGAACUGGAUGUAAAUACAGGAGCGGCAGAGAGGACAGGCAUGGAAAGGAGGCCUGUCUCCCACGGAGAACUCCUCUAGUGCCAGCAGACACGCAUGGUGGAACACAUGUGAGCAGGACAGGAGGGCCAUCUCUCUGGAACGCCUGCCUGCACCCACGCGCUGACCGCCAGCAGCGGAGAGAGGGGCCAGGCAGAUGGAGCACUCGUGGGUCUCCCGGCGCAGAGCCUGCGGCACACAGGACGGGAAGAGGCCACGCGGAACACUUCGAUUUAUGGCCAAGCACUGAUCGAUUUCUGCAAAGAGCUCUUCAAUGUUGGUGUUGUAUGAGCACAGGAUGCGGUGGCUGAUUUCUGUGAACUGAGGAGGAGGCGGGGGCGGGUAAGCUCACACCUGAGCUCGGUGGAGGUUGCAGGGAAGCGCUCUCGAGCCUGACCAUCUAUUUUGGUAACCUUCCUCGUCUCUGUCUUCGAAUAAUACUUUUUAGGGAAAUAGAUAUAUGUCUAUUUUACUUAACUAUAAAUCCAGAUAAUCUGGACAGAUGACCACAAGAACCCCUAUCUGAUGGAGUCCAGAACACACUACCCCAAAAUACGGCACCUUGGCAUACUGAAUAUUUUAAGGAAAAAACAUUCCUUCCCAAAGGAAUUUGAGAAAUGACAGCUGCAGGAGGGACCGUCUGACCUCUCCCCACCCCUAAAGUGGGUCACAGGACCCUCCUGUGAGAGGCACCCUCGUCUCCAAAGACGGAGGGAGCCGGGAGGAGACAGCACACAGGCCUUGCCGUGGUUCCCACCGACCACCCUCAGCUCACCCCUUGUCCUGUCAUGCUUCCCCACGACCUCUGUGUCCUCAUCCAACCUAGCAUAGAAAGCGCUCAGGCGUUACUGUCUCUUCGGGUCUCCGCUGCCCCUUCGGGUCGCCGCUGCCUCUUCGGGUCUGCACUAUCUCUUCCGGUCUGCGCUGCCUUAGGAAGGCUUCCAUACCACAUGGGACUUACUAAGUAAAUCCGUGUAAUUUUCUCGUUAAGCUUAACUUACAGGGCUCCAGCUGAAGAAUUUAGGAGGGUAGGGGAAAAGGGUAUAUUGUUUCCCUCCCCUGCUGUUUUCUUGGUUGUGAGCUUUGACCAUUAGCAGGAACACAUUUGAAAUUAAAAGUUGAGAGAAAAGUUCGAAUUUCGCAGGAUCAGCUCUGUCCCAUAGAAACAUACUGUGAGCUACGUAUGUAAUUUUAAAAUUUCUGGCAGUCACAUUAAGUUUUUUAAAAGGUGAAAUUAAUUUUAAUAUUGUAUCUGACCCAACAGAUCCAAAAUAUUAUCACUUCAACGUUUAUUAAUUGAAUACAGUACUUUGUUUUUUUUGGUAUUUUUGUUUGGUUUGGUGGAGACAGCAUCUCGCUCUGUCACCCAAACUGGAGUGCUUGGGGCCAUCAAUGCUCACUCAGCCUCGGCCUCCCGGGCUCAAGCCAUCCUACACUAGAAAGGUCUGAGUCAUUACAGAGUGGCCACCAGUGUCAUCUGAGGCACGGGUAGGUGGCUCAUUCAGGGCCACACCAGCGGCUCCUUUUUAGUACAUGUGAAGAGUGUAAAGCAAAGGAGAAUAAGGUGUGUAAAAGGUUGUGCCAAUGGUGACUGUCAGCCACACUUCCUGCCCUCUUGCUUGUCCUUUCAAGUACAGAGCUGUGGCUCACCCAGAGAUGACAUUUCCCAUUCCCCCAUGCCCAGGUGGGGCCACGUGAAGUAGUUCUUCCAGAUGGACGUGGCUCAUGUCUCUUCUGGGUGUUCUCCAGGCCCGGGGGGUGGCAGAUAAAGGGCAGAGGGAGACAGUUCCCGAGCCCCACAGGCUGGCAUGUUGCCUGCAAGCCAGGACACCUGAACUGUCCUAUGAGACCGAAGCUCUGGCUUUCAGUCACUGAAAUUCGGGGGGUUAUUUGUCCAGCAGUGAGAAGUGCCGAUUCAGCAGUUACAUCUGCUUCAUGGAAUCCGGCUUGAAGCACAAAGAAGGAUGAAAUGAACAAGUCCCGUGGAGAUCUCACACAUUUAGAUAUGUGAUGGGGAAAAUGCAUUUUGGAUGGUCCAUGACUGUCCAGGUUUCAAAUAUUCUAGUCUACUGGAGUCCUCACGUUCACUUUUUCUUUUUUUUUUUUUUUUAUUAAUGUGGAGCAACCUGGCAGAACGUAGUGUGUAUUUAAAUCACCAGACUUCUGAAGGUGCCUUUGAGGACAUGGAGUUCUCUUCCAAUUCUCUCCCUUCUGCAAAAAGAUCGUGAGACAGCGCAGGGUCGAGUGCUGUGGAGACUAUGAGCUGCCUUUCUCCCUGG